This 610-nucleotide ribosomal RNA is filed under the name uncultured fungus. RNAcentral describes it as "LSU rRNA". It matches the Rfam family "Eukaryotic large subunit ribosomal RNA", at positions 38 to 667 of the family's 3401-position model. The record is from RNAcentral. Lineage: Eukaryota; Fungi.
GCAUAUCAAUAAGCGGAGGAAAAGAAACCAACAGGGAUUGCCUUAGUAACGGCGAGUGAAGCGGCAAAAGCUCAAAUUUGAAAUCGGCCACCAGGUCGAGUUGUAAUUUGAAGGUAGUUUUCUGGUGCUGGCCCUUGUCUAUGUUCCUUGGAACAGGACGUCACAGAGGGUGAGAAUCCCGUCUGAUGAGAUGCCCAUUCCUAUGUAAGGUGCUAUCGAAGAGUCGAGUUGUUUGGGAAUGCAGCUCUAAGUGGGUGGUAAAUUCCAUCUAAAGCUAAAUAUUGGCGAGAGACCGAUAGCGAACAAGUACAGUGAUGGAAAGAUGAAAAGAACUUUGAAAAGAGAAUGAAAAAGUACGUGAAAUUGUUGAAAGGGAAGGGCAUUAGAUCAGACUUGGUGUUUUACGAUUAUCUUCUCUUCUUGAGUUGUGCACUCGUAUUUCACUGGGCCAGCAUCGAUUCGGAUGGCAAGAUAAUGGCAGUUGAAUGUGGCUUCACUUCGGUGGAGUGUUAUAGCUUCUGCUGAUAUUGCCUGUCUGGAUCGAGGGCUGCGUCUUUUGACUAGGAUGCUGGCGUAAUGAUCUAAUGCCGCCCGUCUUGAAACACGGACC